This 1499-nucleotide long non-coding RNA is filed under the name Homo sapiens (human). RNAcentral describes it as "long non-coding RNA NONHSAT117931.2". The record is from RNAcentral. Lineage: Eukaryota; Metazoa; Chordata; Mammalia; Primates; Hominidae.
AUACAGGUGACCGUAUCCUGAGCCCCGGGCAGAGGCAGGACCGAGCCGCAAUCUGAACAGAAAUCCAGGUCCGACUGAAAGCUGGAGCAAGUAUUGGCGAGGUCCAUGACAGACAUGCGGUCGGGUCUGAGGAGGGAGUUGGAAGUUUAUUAACAAAAGAGAGAAGAGUUCCUGUCCCAGAGGUCGUAACUAUUCUGUCCCAGGACCUAGGAGUAUAUAACCCGAACCCUCCUGCCACGCACGCCCUCCUGCCUCUGCGACCAAGGAGCCGAAACGCCCGGAAUUCCCAGACAGCGUCGGGUACUAAAGCACUUGGAACCCUUUCCAGGGGCCGGUGAGAGGAGUUAACCAACUCCGUGGGCUAGAGCGCCAGCUCUGCGCCCGCGGCGGGGCAGCGAGAUAGAGCCGGCUAGAGCGUCAGGCUUUCGCGUUGACGAUUGGCUGUGACGUCAUAAUUAAUUGCGAACCGUGUCUCGGGAGCGUUAGAGAUGGAGACUAACGUCUUUCAAGGGAGAUUGCGUCUCCACUUUCACCCUGGUACUGAGAGAUUGAGCACAAAAUUGGUAACCAAUGCUGCGCUUCCAGCAAAUUUUCCCACCAGCACCCAAUCCGGGGAUAUUUAUUCUCUUUGUCUCACAUCCUACAGGAACGCAGUCGCGGGGUAUAUCCCCCUGAAAACCGUACGUUGCCAAAUAAUGAUUUCUUUGGAUUAGAGAACUACAACUCCCCUGGGUCCUGAGCCGGUAUUUCCCUUUUGCGGCUGCACCGUAGUUAAAAACAAAGCUAAGUGUUCUGGGACGUAUAGUUCUAGCGUUCCUUGGGUCCCGCUGGCGAGCGUGGGCUUUCUGCAGCUCGCAACCGGCCUCGUGCUUUGCGGACGGUUCACUGCGCUUGGAAAGGGAUUGGCCUGGGGUACAUCAUCUAAAGAUCCUAGGAUUGCUGCAGGUCAGCAGUCUCCACUGGAAAAAAAGAUCUUGCAUGUAUUUCAAGUCCUCUGAUGAAUCAUGUGAUCUACUAGACCCUGAAGAUACAGUGAAGAGCAAAAGAACACGGAUGAAAUGAGAAACAAAAACGAUGGAGAAAACCAAAAAAGGGGACACAUGGGAUCCAGGCAAUAGGAGAGCCAGCAUAAGAGAGAGGCAGAGGGAUGCCCAGGAUGAGGUGAAGACGAUCUUGGAAAUCAGCCCAGAUGUGCAUGCACCAGUCCACGUGUGGCAGGACCAAGGGAAGUGUCUUCACAAAGAUGAGGCUUUGAUUUGUUGGAGAAACUGUUACCAGAAAAACAGGUCCCGAUCCCGACCCCAAAAGAGUAUUCUUGGAUCUUGCACAGGAAGGAAUUAAAGGUCUAGCUCUGUCUCCUCAGCACAUGUUCUAGGCUCUGACUGCAAGUGCUGACUUGGGCUCCCAGCCCCACACAGACCCUCUGUUCCAUGAAAGGGCCAUCUAUGCAAAGUGCCCCCCAAAUGCCAAAGGAGCCAAUAAACCAAGGAACAAGACAG